AUCACUGCUAACCCUGGCCUGGGUUAUUUCAGAGGUUCCUGGGCACACAGUAGUUUUUUGGAGCCCCAGCUCUGGUUGGUGCCUGUGCUGCUGAGCUGCAUCUGUGGCUGUGGAGGGCUCUGUAACAUAGCAGGGAGCUGUGUCCCAUGGAGAGAAGCCCAGCUUGAAGCAAGAGAAAAUGAGGAGCAAGCAGCUCCAGAGAGCUCUUCAAGCCAUCGGGGAAGAUCAGAGCCCAUCCUGCAGGAGCACACUGAUGCAGCUGGCAUUCAAAAGAAGAUCUGCAGGAUUCGUUCUUCUGCUGGAUCCGAAGAACUGACGUCCAUCAGCAAUUUCCAGCUCCCAUUGGAGAUGGGACCAGCUGCACAGCAGAAGGAACCAGCUGGAGCUCCAGGCACAGCUCUAGCUGCUCACAGCUGAGCCUGUGGGAAGCUCCAGGAGCUCCUGCCAUCCCUCUCCCUGGUGGCAUCUCCCUCCCUGCAGCCCUCAGGCCCUGCCCAUCCCCCUUUUUACCUCCCAGCUCACCCCUUCCCUUCG
Long non-coding RNA from Passer montanus (Eurasian tree sparrow), 534 nucleotides. RefSeq lists it as uncharacterized. The transcript is spliced from 3 exons. The record is from RefSeq and is a predicted model, not a curated record. Lineage: Eukaryota; Metazoa; Chordata; Aves; Passeriformes; Passeridae.